GAUUAACGCUGGCGGCGUGCCUAACACAUGCAAGUCGAGCGGCAGCGAGUUUUACACUGAAUUCUGGAAGCUUCUAGUUGAAAGAGAAGAUUUAUUCAAGAAUUUUGUGUAAAAUGUCGGCGAGCGGCGGACGGCUGAGUAACGCGUGGGAACGUACCCCAAAGUGAGGGAUAACGCAUCGAAAGGUGUGCUAAUACCGCAUAUGGUCUUCGGAUUAAAGCCUUCGGGCGCUUUGGGAACGGCCUGCGUAAGAUUAGAUAGUUGGUGGGGUAAUGGCCUACCAAGUCGACGAUCUUUAACUGGUUUGAGAGGAUGAUCAGUCAGACUGGAACUGAGACACGGUCCAGACUCCUACGGGAGGCAGCAGUGAGGAAUCUUCCACAAUGGGCGAAAGCCUGAUGGAGCAACGCCGCGUGCAGGAUGAAGGCCUUCGGGUUGUAAACUGCUUUUAUAAGUGAGGAUUAUGACAGUAACUUAUGAAUAAGGAUCGGCUAAUUACGUG
Molecule: ribosomal RNA, 502 nt
Filed under: uncultured bacterium
Lineage: Bacteria
Description: partial 16S ribosomal RNA
Rfam family: Bacterial small subunit ribosomal RNA
Source: RNAcentral